Molecule: long non-coding RNA, 4442 nt
Filed under: Helianthus annuus (common sunflower)
Lineage: Eukaryota; Viridiplantae; Streptophyta; Magnoliopsida; Asterales; Asteraceae
Description: hypothetical non coding rna
Source: RNAcentral
UUAUUUGGGAUGCUAAGUCAUAUCGUUAACUGAGUUUAACUUCAGUUUCGUAUACAAUACCGAUAAAUGACGAUAAUGCCCUUAUGGCACAUAAAAAGGGUUUUAAGCAUAAUAUUCAAACCAAACCUUUUGCUUACUGAUUUGUUAUGACAAAUAAAAUAUUUUGACUAAUCAAAGCUAGUCAUAACAUCAGGUUUCAUAAACCUUCACAUAAUUCGUCAUUUAGCGACAUUAACGCCGUUUAGGCGCGCAGUAUGGUUUUAAACCAUAUUUAUGAAUCAAUGUCACACCCUGGCUUUGCGGAAGCGUGGGUUAUUUGGUGUGACUUCUUAAUACCAUUGCCACAAUCAUAACAAUUCUAUAUGAUUAAAAACAUAAGAUAUUCACCCAUAAAUAAAGUUUAGAAAAAUACCAUAUUAUACUUGUCUUAAAACAACAAUCGCCAAAAUAAGUUACAACCCAUGACUUGAUUUAAUGAGUUCGUAAAAACUUAGCAAAAGACUUUAAACGAUACUAGGUUUAGAGUUAUGUAACCCGUCCAGGAAGAAGUUACACCUUCUAAACCCGGAAUGACUUCUUUAUUCAAACGCAGCUUGAAAUAUAUAUAUAUGCAUACCGUGCCAGAUCCAUUAGUUUCCUGAAAUAAUGUAGUUUGAAAAGUCAACAUAAAGUUGAGCGAGUUCAUGUGUAUGUGAGUUGAUAUAAACCUUUGUAAAAUGUCUGUGUGUAUGAAAAUUCCUGGUAUGAAGCAAUAAGGAAAAAGAGAUCAAUUAAUGUGUAGCUAAUACAUUAAUAAGUGAAAUGGCCUAGGAAGCACUCAAACCUGCAACGCGUAUUUCAUACCGGUCCUUCCGGCGGAACGACAUAGUCACCACAUGCAGACACACGCUGGCUCAUGUGUGGGGCUCGCAACACCCGAUAGAUCUAUCACUCAUGCCUCUCGGUCCUUAUACAAGGAUUAAUGGUCUUACGAUAAUAGCCUACCCAUUCACAUGAUCUAGGUAAUAACCCUCCUUACGCUAAACAUACCAUGUAUAAAAGUGCUCGUAAUCAUAGUAACAUGUAUUUCACCCCCGCAGUUUAAAAACUGAAAACAGUUAAGAGAAAAGGGGGACAUGAACUCACCAAAGUGCGUCUCUAAAAAGUAUCUCCCAGUCAACCUGCUGUGCGACGACCUACACGUACUAACUUCUAUUAGACGGACGGCCGUGCCUUAGCUUAAGGGUUAAUGUCUUUAGGAAAUAGUUAGGCAACUAUUUCGUAAUUACACUUCGGAAUUAUUUGGUAAAUAUACUCCUUCCCAAGGAUGGGGGUUUUAAUACAUGUGCGUUUAUACAAUUCCAAGACUUCAUUAUUAAGUCCCACUUAAUAAAUACACUCUAAUUCUUUUGUCCAAAAUAUUCUAUCUCCAAAAUAUAAAUAAUUAAAUAUCUUUCCCAAAAAUAUUAUAUUUUAUUUCAUUUGUCUAAAAUACUCUACUUCCAAAAUAUAAAUAUUUUUCCCAAAAAUAUUAUAUUCUAUUUCAUUUGUCUAAAAUACUCUACUUCCAAAAUAUAAAUAUUUUUCCCAAAAAUGCUAUAUUUAUUCCAUAUAAUUUUUCCCCAAAAUAACACUCGUCAAAAUACACACUUAUGAGUAUUUUCUAAAAAUGCAUGAGUUAUGUUUAAAGAUCGGGUGGUAUUAAUAAUACCGUUGUAACUUAAUAUUUAUUGUGAAGGCGUUCGUAUUGUUUUGGAGUUGUUAACAUUUGGUAAUAUUAUUUCUACUCUAAAAAUAAUAUUUAGAUAGUUUGCAAAAUAAUCACAAAAAUUUACGCAAGUGUUGUUAUGAAAAUAUAUAUUCUAAAUAUAUAUUUUAGCAAGUUUAUUUUGUGAAAAUCCCACCUCCGACACUUAAAAAGUUUUGUAAUAAAAAUCAUGGCGAAAGUUAUUUGGGAAAACAAGUUAAAAAUAUAGUCAUAACACUUGUGAUAAAAAUAUUUACAAGUGUUAGACUUUUGGAAAAAUUUCGCCAGAGUUUCCCCUGUAACUUGAGGUGGCCACGCUUUCAAGCGUAUCAUUUUCUUUUAAAAUUCAAAUCAACAAUUUUCUCAAUCAACAAUAAACAAUAUUCAAACCAUCAAACUAGUCAAAAUAGAUAUAAAUCGCAAAAAUACAUGAACUUGUGGUUUAUCCAAAAUAUGUAGUAACUUUCCAUUACUUUUAGUGGAUCUUUGUAUAAAUCCACUCGGUUUCUUGAGAGUCUCGUUUUUAAAGAAAAUAAAUUUCCACAACUUCUUGUCAACAUUUACAAAAAUAGUUCUUUUGUCAAAACUUUGUGUUACACAAGUGUCUACACACUUGUGUGUUUACAAAAAUCACUCUUGUUCAUGUAAAACCCGGUUUAGAAAAUAUGAUUUCUUUUGACGCUUGGUCCUUUGAAAAUACCACUUGUAGAUCCGUAGAUCUAGAAGUUUACAAGUCUAUUUCAUAAGAAAGAUUGUCUUUACACAAGUUCAUGCUUGAUAUGUAGUAGUGUUCAUCAUUUAACCUCUUUCAUACUAUAACAUAUUCUAGGUCAUGUUUCAUGGACAUGACUUAGCCGGGUUAGAUGACGAUCCGAGCUACUACUAGCAUAGAUCAACACUAAAUAACCACAAUAAAACAAGUCUUACAAGUUUUACACAACUCUAUUGCUUUUAUCCAACAUGUUUAUCAUUUUUGUAAACUUUUAGUAUGUAAUCUUGUAUGUUCAUGAUUUUUAACUGACAAAGUUCAUUUUAACCACUUUAGAAUAGAUCAAGAAGGCGUUUAGAGUCACUUACUACUAGCUCGAGGCUAGGGAAGAAACUAGUCGGAAAUCGAGUGGAUAAAGGCAAUGUAGCGAGGUCCUUCGCAAUCCGAGUGCACCGACGUUCCUUAUACGCGAUCCUUAACCCUUGUAUGUGCUUGGAAUGGAUUGAUCAAGAUCGAAAAGUGGUGGUGGUGGUGCUUGUGUGGUCGGCCGAAGGUAAGAGAGGAGGGAGGGAGAGUAUUUGUUUUGCUAAGUGUGGUGUAAAGUGAGAGUUAUAACCCCUUAGGUCCUUUUAUAAUCCAUCCAUCUCUAAUAUCCCUUGGAUGUUAUGUCACCUAGAUAUUUAGCACAUGAUAUUAUAAUAAUCAAAAAUUAGUGAGGGUGUCCCCCACAUGGACCGAAUUCGGUUGGGAUGGGAGGGGGUUUCAUAGUUGGUUUCUAACUAAAUGGUUAGGCAUUAGUUGUUAAGUAGGAGGUUAAACCGGUUACUAGCAUGUAGUAAGUUGUAACGGGUGUUAGCGUAUUCGGGGACCCUAACUGGCUCAGAAAAGGAAAAACAAUGUUAAUGACAAUAUUUUUAUGUUCCGUAUAAAGUCCGGUUGUUCGGUUGGAUAGUGAUCCGUUAAAGUGCUUAACAAAGCUUUAGAGUGUCGUUAUUAUUAUUUUUAGUGACACAAUUUAUUCCCGACACUUUGGAAAGUGUCUAGUAAUAUUUUCCUCAUGUUUUGGCACUUUAUUAGUUAGCUUAAUGCUGAAUUUUUAUUUAAAGUGCUGAAUUUUGUACUUAAAGUACGUUUUAGGCACACCCGGUCACUGUAAUUAUCACCUAGUGACGCAGUUCUACAAUCCUCACUUCCCUACACUCUCUACGGGUGUAGUAAACUAUCUCUGGCUCACACAGGCCUUAGAGGCAGUGUCUGCCUGGUGCUGGCUAUGUCAGCGUGUUAAAUGGAGUAACAGCAAAUAGAGUAUGAGGCAUGGUUAUACAUAUUUCAGAAAUCAUGUAGAAGUUUAUUUACCACUGUAAGCAAGCACAGUAAUUGAGCAGUAAUUAAAUACUAAUUAAUUUGUACGGAUACCCGGUUUUGUGAGGGUUGUCACAAUCAAGACUUGUUACCUACUGAUUUUAUAAACCAUUUUAAAAGUUUUUACAGUAGGUAUAAGUCAUAAACUCAGAAUCCCAAAUAAAUUCUCAAAACUAUGUGUGAAAUGACCAAAAUGCCCCUACAGUGCAUAGUUUGGUCAUAAAGCAGAAACCACACAUAUAUUUGAUACCCUACUAAUAUGAUAUCAUAAUUUAAACAAUUUUACAGAGUGUUUAUGACCAUGACAUCAGUUUACUUGCAAGCUCCUUUUAUAACUUGUAAAAUUACCAAAAUGCCCUUAUGAGGCACAGUUUGAUUUUAAAACCUUAACGGGCAUACAAGUUGAUAUACUACUGAUAUUAUAACUUGUUUAAAGUAUAUUGGCAUAUGGAACUUGUUCAUGAUUCAUCCGGUUACCCGUUAUCGCUUAUACGCGUAUGGUUAGACUUACGUAACUAGUUUACAUAAGGACAAAAGCUGUAAUUUUUCCUUUUUUUAAAUUAAAACAAAUAAUCAUUGGUCCUUGCUUCUUAUUGGUCAAGUUUUCAAGUUUGCCGUAAGUCAAGGCGUUUUAUAAACCACGUC